RNAcentral lists this ribosomal RNA (1740 nucleotides) under Escherichia coli. RNAcentral describes it as "partial 23S ribosomal RNA". It matches the Rfam family "Bacterial large subunit ribosomal RNA", at positions 418 to 2143 of the family's 2925-position model. The record is from RNAcentral. Lineage: Bacteria; Pseudomonadati; Pseudomonadota; Gammaproteobacteria; Enterobacterales; Enterobacteriaceae.
CGGGACACGUGGUAUCCUGUCUGAAUAUGGGGGGACCAUCCUCCAAGGCUAAAUACUCCUGACUGACCGAUAGUGAACCAGUACCGUGAGGGAAAGGCGAAAAGAACCCCGGCGAGGGGAGUGAAAAAGAACCUGAAACCGUGUACGUACAAGCAGUGGGAGCACGCUUAGGCGUGUGACUGCGUACCUUUUGUAUAAUGGGUCAGCGACUUAUAUUCUGUAGCAAGGUUAACCGAAUAGGGGAGCCGAAGGGAAACCGAGUCUUAACUGGGCGUUAAGUUGCAGGGUAUAGACCCGAAACCCGGUGAUCUAGCCAUGGGCAGGUUGAAGGUUGGGUAACACUAACUGGAGGACCGAACCGACUAAUGUUGAAAAAUUAGCGGAUGACUUGUGGCUGGGGGUGAAAGGCCAAUCAAACCGGGAGAUAGCUGGUUCUCCCCGAAAGCUAUUUAGGUAGCGCCUCGUGAAUUCAUCUCCGGGGGUAGAGCACUGUUUCGGCAAGGGGGUCAUCCCGACUUACCAACCCGAUGCAAACUGCGAAUACCGGAGAAUGUUAUCACGGGAGACACACGGCGGGUGCUAACGUCCGUCGUGAAGAGGGAAACAACCCAGACCGCCAGCUAAGGUCCCAAAGUCAUGGUUAAGUGGGAAACGAUGUGGGAAGGCCCAGACAGCCAGGAUGUUGGCUUAGAAGCAGCCAUCAUUUAAAGAAAGCGUAAUAGCUCACUGGUCGAGUCGGCCUGCGCGGAAGAUGUAACGGGGCUAAACCAUGCACCGAAGCUGCGGCAGCGACGCUGAUGCGUUGUUGGGUAGGGGAGCGUUCUGUAAGCCUGUGAAGGUGUGCUGUGAGGCAUGCUGGAGGUAUCAGAAGUGCGAAUGCUGACAUAAGUAACGAUAAAGCGGGUGAAAAGCCCGCUCGCCGGAAGACCAAGGGUUCCUGUCCAACGUUAAUCGGGGCAGGGUGAGUCGACCCCUAAGGCGAGGCCGAAAGGCGUAGUCGAUGGGAAACAGGUUAAUAUUCCUGUACUUGGUGUUACUGCGAAGGGGGGACGGAGAAGGCUAUGUUGGCCGGGCGACGGUUGUCCCGGUUUAAGCGUGUAGGCUGGUUUUCCAGGCAAAUCCGGAAAAUCAAGGCUGAGGCGUGAUGACGAGGCACUACGGUGCUGAAGCAACAAAUGCCCUGCUUCCAGGAAAAGCCUCUAAGCAUCAGGUAACAUCAAAUCGUACCCCAAACCGACACAGGUGGUCAGGUAGAGAAUACCAAGGCGCUUGAGAGAACUCGGGUGAAGGAACUAGGCAAAAUGGUGCCGUAACUUCGGGAGAAGGCACGCUGAUAUGUAGGUGAAGCGACUUGCUCGUGGAGCUGAAAUCAGUCGAAGAUACCAGCUGGCUGCAACUGUUUAUUAAAAACACAGCACUGUGCAAACACGAAAGUGGACGUAUACGGUGUGACGCCUGCCCGGUGCCGGAAGGUUAAUUGAUGGGGUCAGCGCAAGCGAAGCUCUUGAUCGAAGCCCCGGUAAACGGCGGCCGUAACUAUAACGGUCCUAAGGUAGCGAAAUUCCUUGUCGGGUAAGUUCCGACCUGCACGAAUGGCGUAAUGAUGGCCAGGCUGUCUCCACCCGAGACUCAGUGAAAUUGAACUCGCUGUGAAGAUGCAGUGUACCCGCGGCAAGACGGAAAGACCCCGUGAACCUUUACUAUAGCUUGACACUGAACAUUGAGCCUUGAUGUGUAGGA